ACGGGAGGCAGCAGUGAGGAAUAUUGGUCAAUGGACGAGAGUCUGAACUAGCCAAGUAGCGUGAGGGAUGACUGCCCUAUGGGUUGUAAACCUCUUUUGUUCGGGAAUAAAGUGCGGGACGCGUCCCGCUUUGCAUGUACCGUUCGAAUAAGCAUCGGCUAAUUCCGUGCCAGCAGCCGCGGUAAUACGGAAGAUGCGAGCGUUAUCCGGAUUUAUUGGGUUUAAAGGGAGCGUAGGCGGUCCUUUAAGUCAGCGGUCAAAUGUCAGUGCCCAACGCUGGCCUGCCGUUGAUACUGGAGGACUUGAAUACACACAAGGAAGGUGGAAUUCGUCGUGCAGCGGUGAAAUGCUUAGAUAUGACGAAGAACUCCGAUUGCGAAGGCAGCCUUCUGGAGUGCGAUUGACGCUGAGGCUCGAAAGCGCGGGUAUCAAACAGGAUUAGAUACCCUGGUA
Molecule: ribosomal RNA, 453 nt
Filed under: uncultured Prevotellaceae bacterium
Lineage: Bacteria; Pseudomonadati; Bacteroidota; Bacteroidia; Bacteroidales; Prevotellaceae
Description: partial 16S ribosomal RNA
Rfam family: Bacterial small subunit ribosomal RNA
Source: RNAcentral